This 16004-nucleotide long non-coding RNA is filed under the name Heterocephalus glaber (naked mole-rat). RNAcentral describes it as "lncRNA (ENSHGLG00100047947.1)". Lineage: Eukaryota; Metazoa; Chordata; Mammalia; Rodentia; Bathyergidae. The record is from RNAcentral.
AAUGAUGAGAAAUGGAAAAAACGGAAAUAAAGUCUUUGUAAAUAGGGAAGGGUGGAAGGGGUGAAGGGAGGGCUAGGAAUGAGGAAAAAAUAAGAACCAAGAUGCAUUAUGUAAAGGUACAGUUCCCAAUGAGAAAUGUAAUUGUGUUGUAUACCUAAAAUGUACCAAUAAAAGAAUUUAACAACCAAAUAAAAGUAUACCUUCUGUUUCUCUAGCACUGGCUGUUAUCUUACCUUGGAUUUCAUGGUGAGUGGCCUCUUACUCUUGUCUCACAUACCUCCUUUCUUCUUCAUGUAAUUAAGCUUACCUUUCUGAAAUGUAGAUCAUUACUUAAUCUCCCACUGAUCUUAGAAUGAUAAAACCCGAAUUUCUAAUUUGGUUGUAAAACACAGCUACUUCUGUUAUUACAGUUGAUUCUGUGUCCUCUUGAGUUCUUACAUUGUCUUGUCAGACAGAUCUUUCUGUUCUAGAACAUGCAGACUUUUUAGCAUGGGGUCUUUUUACUUCCUAGGGUGUAUUUCCACUGGCUCAUAGUUUUAGUGUAGGUAUCCUUUUCCUGUAAGGGUUGUUAGAGGAAACUUACCCUUUUACUUGUCCUCUAAGUUUUUUACCUGUAGCUUGGUAAGUGGAGCUGCAGUAAGAAAUAGAAGAUUUGUCCAAGAUUUAUUAGUAUUAAAUACUUUAGUGUGGUCCUAUUGUCCGUUUCUUAGCACUAAGAAAAGGGUUCUGUGUAUGGGUGAGAUGGAAAUUUGAGUAUUUAACAUUGCAGAUUCCUGAGUCACUGGCUUGUUACUGUGUUGACAUCCAUUAGCUGAAUUCCAUAGUGAAUCUUGUAAUUGCUGUUGGGAUCGAACUCUGGACCUUGCGCUUGCAAGGCGGUGGAACCAUUGAGUUAAAUCCCUGGCCUUGUGAUUGCUGUUUUUAGUAAGAAAAAUUAUCAAAUACAUGAUUCAACAUAAUACAUUAAUAUGCUUUUAUGUCUUAGAAGGCAAUUCAUUGAUUUUUUUUAUCAGGAAUUUUGCAUAUUACACAUUUAACUUGUUAGAUAUACUUUAUAAUCUGUUGUAAAUGUCCAUAGAAUAUUCUCAUUUAUAUUUUGGUAGAUACACCUUGAAAUUUGGAUUAAUUGGGGGAGGUAGAUGUAUAAUACUGAGUAUUCUUAUCCUGAAACAGGCUGUUCUGUCUUUAACAAAAUUUUGUAGUUUUGAUAACAGGUUUUGUGUACUUACUGUGGAGUUUUUUUUAGAGAUUAUUUUGUAGUUCUUUUAGUAUAUGUGCUGCCGAAGUGAGCACUAUUUUAUAGUUCUUAUUGGUUUAGUGAUUAUAUCUUUUCUACAUGUUCUAAGUAGCUAUUGUUGGAGUAUAAGACUUUGAUAUUUUGAUCAAAUCUAUGACCACUAAACUGAAUUCUCUUAAGUCAGUUUACUCUGUUGAAUUUUCUGACUAAACUCAUAUUUUCUCUACUAAAUUAUUAUGUAGUUUUCAGUAGUUACACUGUUUUUCUUCUCUUGUACAAGUUUUGAAUGCUACCAAAUUGCUCAGUAGUAGUAGAGCCUACCUUUGUCUUUUCCUUAUUUUAAUGGUAAUAUUGCACCAUUGUGAGAAUAAUGUAAAUGUCUUUUAUCAGUUUAUUAUAUUUAUUUUAGCUCACUAAGCUUUGUCAGAAAUAAUGUACUAAAUUUUAUGAAAUGUAUUUUUGGUGUCUCUUAAAUGAUCAUUUCUCUCCCUACCCUACCCAUCUAUUUAUUACCUAAUAGUGAACUGUGUUUGGAAUAAUUGAUACUGUAUAGUAUAGUAUUAAUUUAAUUCAGUGUUGGAUUUGAUUUCAUUAACAUUUUAAUUUAUAUUUUCUGUGAAGAUUACCUAUUUCAUGUUUUAGAGUUUCAAAUUUGCUGGGAGAAACUAUUCUUUCCUUGUAUCAGUCUUGUAAAGAUUUCUGUUUUAUACGUAUGCCUUUUCCUUUUAAUCUUAUAUGUUACAAUUUUAACUACAUGUGCCACUGAAGUUCUAGGAAGCAGUUUGAUCAGGUGCUUUAUUUGAUAUUUUAAUUUAGUAAUUUUUAAAAGUAACAAGUACUUUAAUGCAUACCUCUUAUAAUAACUGAAAUUUUAAAAAAUUGUGGUAAAUAACAAAACAUAAAAUUUGCCAUCUUAAGCGGUUCUAAGUGAACAAUUCAAGAAUGUUAAGUAUAUUCACAUUGUUGUGCAACAUAUCUCCAGAACUUUUUCAUCUUGUAAGACCAUAAGUGUACUGUAUAUCCAGGGAAUAAUAACUCCAUUUCUCCUUCCUCCUAACCUCCGACACUCACUAUUCUAUUUUCUGUUUCUGUGAAUUCUUUUACCUUAAAUAAUUCAUAGAAGUGAAAUCAUAUAGUGUUUGUAUUCAUAUGGGCUCUUGGAAGGAGAUGGGAACAUAAUUUUAUGUUUCCAAAUAGUUAAUUGAUUGAUGUAGCAAUUUCAUAGUCUGUUUCCCAAUUUUUGAAGUGCUACCUUUUUUUUGGUUCCGGGGAUUGAACUCGGGACCUUGCGCUUGUGAAGCAGGUGGCAGCGCCACUGAGCUAAAUCCCCGGCCCUUGUAAUUUUUGAAAAAUUUUUAUCUGUUAUCUCAAGACUAUUUUAUUUGAUGGCUUGGUUUUUACCAAUUUUCUGUUACAAUACGACUUUUUCUCCUUUUAAAGAAACAUUUUUACAUAUUUAGGAAGAAGUAUUACUUUUAUUUCAUAUAUUUGCACAAAAGAAUAAUAGAUUGGAUUUUAUCUGCUCAGUGUAUUCAUCUUUACGUAUAUAAUGUACUGCAUUUUUAUUAGCUGAAUGCCCAUAUACUAAAAGUAGUUGUACUAAGCAGUUGCCUAUGUUUGAUAAGUAGAUAACAUCUGUGUGGGAUUUUGUGGGUUACAAACUAAUUUAAUAUGUUUUUUAUUUAAUUGAAACAGUGGUCUUUUUUUUUUUUUUUUGAGACAGGGUCUCACUAUGUGGUUCAGACUGGCCUUGAACUCACUAUGUAGACCUCCAAACUAGCCUGAUCCUCCUGCCUGAGCCUCCCAAGUGCUGGGAUUACACCCUGCCCAGAGAGACAGUAGUCUUUUGAAACAUUUUUUCUUCCUAUUUCUAAGACUGCAGAUAGGCAUGACUUCCUUACUUUCUUCCUUUUCUUUAUAAAUUUCUAGUAUAGAAGUAAAAGUACUUUAGUGAAGAAGAAGAAGAAAAGAGCAGCACUAGGACUGGGGAUUUAGCUCAGUGGUUUCGCUGCCUGCUGUGCAAGUGCAAGGACCCGAGUUCAAUCCCCGGUACCAAAAAAAAAAAAAAAAAAAGACAAAAAGAGCAGCACUGACACCUGUAUAGUUUUUUUACUAGUUCAUAUGUUACUAGUCUUACUAGGCUGUCUUUGGAUUUGAGCAUCUUCGUAUAGGGUAAAGGACCUACAAACUUGGAAUGUUCUAUAGUUCUCUUGCACUAUUAUUCCAGUGUUCUUUUAGGUUUUUUUUUUUUUGUUUAUUUUACAUACUUCAGAUAAACUGGGAAUGAUUUAAAACAUAUAGUUUCUGUUCAGGAAAUGCCAAAAUAGAAGAACUUAUUUUGGGGAAAUAUAAACCAAAUCUAAAGUUAUAUUACUCUGUGAGUAAUAUUUUGUGUUUAUUCUAUGUUGGAGGAAUCUUAAAGGACUGUUACAUUAUCUUUUUGUUUUAUUAAAUCAUAUAAUAAAUACAUAGACUAAAGAAAUACAAAACAGUAGCAGAUGAUACAGAAUAAGAUUUGAAAAAAAAAUCUCCCCUUUAUAUCACAAGUAUAAAGUUUAAAGUUUAAGUUUAUUGUAAAUUCUAUGCCUUUUUCUGUACAUUUUCAGACACAUGUACAUACAGUACAUAUUUAUGUAACCACAUUUUUGUUUUGCAUAAAUGAGAGCAUUAUAGGGCCAGGGAUAGCUGCACCUGCCUUGAAAAGCGCAAGGUUCUGAGUUUGAUCUCCGGUACCAAAAUUAAAAAAGAGAGAGAGCAUUAUAAUAAAUACAGUAGUGUCUGAAACUUUUUUUUUUUAACUUGUUUUUAAAAUUGCUUUAACUUGUGUAUCUCCCUUUGUAUGUGGGAGAUCUUUUCAUAUGAGAAAGUUCUUUACUCUUAUCACAUCGCUACUUUUAUGUCAGUUCAUGAAGAGCACAGUCUUGGUAUUGCAGCUUUUUGUUUUCCAUGUGUGAACAACUUUGUUUUGUAUUAUGUGCAGCCUAUAAGAACAGCUUGCUUGAUAAGAGAACUCGUUCAUUUCCUUAGGAGGGGGCCUAGAAUGUUAAGAUUCAUACACCUUUUAAAUUACUAAGGCCCUACUGACCACGCUACCAUAGCAGAAGUUUUUUUUUUUCUGAAAAUUUUAAUCAAAUAAUUAAGGAGAAUCAAAGGAAUGGAAGUAGAUUGAGGUGGGUAAAAGAAUGACUGACUUCAGAUAGAAUUUGAGGAAAACAUCAAAGAAAAACAUAAUUGAAAAUUAAGAUUUGAGAGCACAUUGCAUUGAGUAAUCAUAGCUGCACUGAAAGGGAGGGGGCCACAAAAGGUUUAAAAAUUACCAAAAAUAAAUUUAAUGGAUGGGCUAAAUAGCAACUCAGCAUGAAUCAAGCCUGAGUUAUUGAUUUGGAAUUAAGAGGAGAAAUUAUCUACAUACAUGAAGCAAAAAAAAUCUAGAAAAACUGAUAAAAAUUUGUGGAAAAUACAUCACAGUGCAUGUCCAUAAAUAUGAGUUCUACAAGCACAGAUCAGAAACUAUGGGAAGGAGAAAAUAAUAAAAUUUCCUUUUUUUGGUACUGGGGGUCGAACUCGGGACCUUGCACUUGCAAGGCAGGCAGCGGAACCACUGAGCUAAAUCCCCGGCCUGAAGCAAAUUUCUGGAGCUGGAUAAAAAUAAUGAAAUUCAGAUCAAAAGUGCCUAUCUAGGAUGAAUGGAAAAAGAUUCACAUCUGGUAAAAUUUCAGAGCUCAAAGGUAUAAGAGAAAAUUUUUAAAACUUUCUGACAAGCAAAAGGAACAAAAUAUGGAAAAUUAAAUAACUGAGUUCUUAGCAGUCAUACUACAUGCUUAAAGAUAGUGAGGCAGUGCCUUUACCUUUCAAGAAAAAAACAUAAGUUGUAUCUAAAUCUUCUCUGCCCAACCACACUGCUUUGUGAGGACAAAUCAUUUUUUUUUUACACUCAUACACCCCAUGAAAAAGGUAUUUGAGAUACUACAGUGCAGAUACUACAGUGCAGGUACUUUAGAUACUAUAGUGAAAAAAGUAAUUUAAGAUCUUUUUUGGAUGGUGGAGUGUGUGAGGAAACAGUGAAAAUCCACACUGGCAGUCUUGGGCCUUCAAAAACAAGUGAGAGCUGGAAGGAAAUUUAGUUUUAUUAGCAAGAAGCACAUGAAAUGAUUCUUCAACUAGUAAUGAGUAAAUGAUAGGAAAUUACAUUUCACUGCAGUGACUAGUGUUUACUUAAUUGCAUUAUAAAUGCACUUAGUUUAAGUUUUAAGAAUCAACGUAGUAAGCUGGUAUGUAAGAUGGGCUCAAUUAUAGUUCUGGAAUAGAAUAUGUUAUAAACCUUUAAAAUGUAAAAUAAUGUACAUCAGGCGAUAGAAGAAAACAAAGGGCUGGUGUUCAUGUCUUCUUUGGACAGUCAGUACAUAGCUGUGUGAUAGUGUUUUGCCAUUUUGAUGCAGGAACAUAACAAAAAGACAUGUUGUUCAUCUUGUGCUUUUGUAACCUUUGAAUUUUUAAAAGACUCCAAGUACAUGCAUCACAUUUAUAAUAUUAAAGAGAUUGUAGGGCCAGGGAUUUAGCUCAGUCGUUCCGCCGCCUGCCUCACAAGUGCAAGGUCCUGCGUUAGAUCCCCAGUAGCCCCCCCAAAAAAGACUGUAGGUGUGUUCUGUAGCUAUUUGUCUUAACGACCACUACUGCUAUUGGUGAAGUGAAUACAUUCCAGUGUCACAUGGUUUUUAGAAACUGAGGUAGAAGAAAUACAGGGAUUAAUUCCAGGAAAUUAGAAAGUUGCGUAGAUUACAAAUGUCAGAGGCAUGAUUAUUUCUUGAUUGGCCCACACUCUGAAUUUUGCAUGUUAAAUCCCAACCAACAGGAAACUCUUUAAAAAAUUAUUGUGAAAGACUUAGAAAUAUGCAUGAAUUCUGAGUUCUUCCCUUCAAAUCUAAAUAAGAUAGCUUUGGGGGGGUUGUAUGCUAAAGAUAUCUUUGUCCUUAAGGUGGGUGUCAUGUGGUCAAGUAGAGGCAUAGCUACUGGAAGUGUGGAGAGUGUCUGCUGGAAGACUGGGAGAAGACAAAAAGGAAAUAGAAAUUGCCAUGGUCCCCUUACUUACAUCCUGUGUUGGUAUCGCUCUACUCUUCACAGAGGACACAUUGUGUCUCCCUCAAACAUUAUUUGUUGAAGGAAGGCGUCUUAAUUUUUUUUUUUUUUUUUUUGGUAUUGGGGAUGGAACUCGGGACCUUGCGCUUGCAAAGCAGGCGGCAGAACCACUGAGCUAAAUCCCUGGCCCUGGAAUCUUAUUUUGAUGCCGUGUUAAAGUCAAAUUGAUAUUGUUUAUGUUCUUAAUAUAGACAAAAUGUUUUUGAAAGCUUUUAGCUUAAGAACAUGAUCUUUUGAGAAGCAGAUUUCUAAAAGUAUGUUUUUCUUUUCUUUUUCUUUUUUUUUUGUUUUUUGGUACCGGGGAUUGAACUCGGGUCCUUGCACUUGCACAGCAGGCGGCCAAACCACUGAGCUAAAUCCCCAGCCCCUAAAAGUAUGUUUUUCUGAUUUGAUUUUUUAAAAUAGAAAAUCUUAUGGUUAUUUAAGUCUUUAAGGAUUGACAACAGACUUCAGAAGAUCCUAAUACCUGGGUACUAUAUAGUGAUUCUACUUGAAUUAGCUUUCCACGCAUGCUAGAGUGCUGAAAAAAUAAGGUAUGCAAAUAUCUUAAAUUCAGUAUGAUCAUUUUACUGGAAAUUGUGAAAUUUGUAUGUGGGGGCGGGUUCCUCAAGCACAUAAAAGCAAACUUAAGUACAAAAUUAUGUUUGGCAGUGAAGUUACACUUUUUAAUAUUUUGCAAGCUAUUAGUUACUGUGUCUUUAGCCUUCCAGUAAUAGGAUUUAUUUCACUAGGGAAAAUUGGCGUAUAUAUUCUUGAAGAGGAAGAGAAUUGGUAUAUUUUUCAAAAUACUUUAAUAAGAAAUUGCUAUCAGAGGAUUUGAAAGAUAUAAGUAUGGGUCAAAUUUGAUUCCAUAACGCAUAGUGUGUUACCUGUUAUACACAUAUUGUGUUAGUCUUUGUUAGAGAUUUGGUAGUAACUAGGUAUCUGAAAUUUAUGGAGAAAGUUCUAAGUAAUUGUAACAUUUCUAGUAUCAAGAUAGCCUCAUAAUGACCGCAGAGGUACUUCAUUUAUAUGAGAGUGAUAUAUUUUUUCUUUUCUCACCCACAGUACGAAAGAUUAAACCCAGGGAAUACUGAGCUACAUCCUCAGACCUGUCUAAAGAUUUUUUUGUUUUGGAGACAGAGUUUCACUAUGUAGUUCAAGCUGGCCUUGAACACUCAAUAUGUAGCCCAGGCUGGCCUUGAACUUGCCCUGAUCCUCCUGCUUCAGCCUCCUAAGUGCUGGGAUCACAGGUGUGCACCACUAUGCCUGGCACUAAAACAUUUUUUAUUUGAGACAGUGUCUUGCUAACUUGCUCCGGUUGGCCUUGAACUUGCAAGGCCAACAUGCACCACCAUGCCUGGUUUGAGAUCAGUAUUUCUUUGUUUUGUUUUAUUUGUUUUGAGAUAGGAUUUCACAGUAAUGCCAAAGCUGGUCUUUUAACUGCUGGGCCGAAGUUAACUUGCUCACCUCUGCCUCCCAGGUGGCUAGAACUACAGUUACAUGCCACUACAUCUGGCUGAGAUCAGUAUAUGUGAGGGUAGUGAAGAAAUCCUGUCUAUGUUCACUUUGAGAAUUUUGGGGUUCUUUUUGUUUUUUGUUUUUUUUUUGGUACCAGGGAUUGAACUCGGGUCCUUGCGCUGAGAACUUUGGAAGGUCAUAGUCAUGCUCUUGAGAUUCUCUCUGUGACAACCCCUAACUAUCCUGUCUGGUAUUGUCAGGAUCAGGACAAUGGAAAAGGGUUGCUCCGUUUUGCAUUUUUUAGCCUAGCUCUUGCUGGAUAGACAAUUUAAAACAAUACAUUUCUUAAUUAUGAGCUUGAAAAAUUAUUUUGGUAAUUGAAAUAAUUGCCUUUAGGUAAGUCAUUAAAAGUUAGAUAUGGGUAGUUUAGUCUGGAAAUACAGAGUGAUAACUGAUAUUUUGAUACUAUACUAAUUGGAGCUUGACAUCAGGAGCCUGGACCAUCAAGAAACCAGAGAAGGAGAGCCAGUGACUACAAUGGGACUCCAUGAAUAUUUGGGUUGUUUUUAUAUUCACACUAUUCUCCAUGCUUUUAGAUUUAAGAUUUUUCUUACAAUUUCAAUUUUUUUUUGGUACCUGGAAUCGAACUCAGGGCCUUGAACUUGGCAGGCAGGCACUGUGCCCCUGAACCACAUCCCCAGACCUGCAGUUUCAGUACCUGGAAUCGAACUCAGGGCCUUGAGCUUGUCAGGCAGGCACUGUGCCCCUGAACCGCAUCCCCAGACCUACAGUAUCAAUUUUUACUCCCAGUUCUCUUCUCUGUCUCCGUGUGUGUGUGUGUGUGUGUGUGUGUGUGUGUGUGUUUGUUUCUUUUUUGUUAAUAGAUACUUGUAGCUUUGGAGCAGAUGACAGUUAAUUUGUUGAUAACCAGAUUGAAAAUGUUGUACCACUAGUACUAGUAGUAGUAGUAGGUUUAGCCUGUUUAAAAACAAAAACAUUGAAAUAAGUAAUUUGUAUUAUGCAUGUGUUCAUUUUUACUUUUAUUUGCAAAUCAUAUGCAACACAGACAAGUUUGGGAGAUGGAUGUGACUUAAAAAUAUUUUAUCAAUCUUCAGUAUGCAGUCUGUUGUGAAGUACUAGAAAGACAAUAAAUUCACGCUAUGAUGUAUAAUGGGUAGAGAUAACAAAUGCAAGAGUGCAGCAGAGACUGGACAUGUGAGAGAGAGGCCAUCUCCUUUGCUUCUUACUUUGCUGAGUAUGUUACGCAUAUUUGGACAAGACUGUACUUAUUCUGUACAUAGGACACAUCUGGGUGAAAUAGUUUGCAUUUAAAUACUUUAUAAGGGCCGGGGUUUUAGCUCAGUGGUUCCGCUGCCUGCCCCAUAAAACACAAGGGCCUGAGUUCGAUCCCUGGUACCAAAAAUAAAUAAAUACUGUAUAAAGUGAGUCUACUGUCCUAAGUUGAAUUUUAAAUUUUAUUUAGAAGAUUAGGAAAGAACAGAAAGAGAUUGUAAUUAAUUAGAGAAGAAGAAAAAGAAAGCAUUGAAAGCAUUUUAAUGUUAAUUUAGUCAAAAGUCAUGAUUGAGUUAAUCAGGAUUAAGACUUUUUUUUCAAUUUUUUUUUUCCUGGUAUCAGGGAUGGAACUCAGGACCUUGUGCUUGUGAGGCAGGCGCAGCACCACUCAGCUAAAUCCCUGGCCCAGGAUUAUAGACUUUUGAAGGUAGAUUAAUUUUAUUUGCUAUUCGAUAUCCAGUGUGUAAGCUUGCUACCUAAUAAGCACUCACUGAAUAUUUGCAUAAAUGAAUGCCUAAAAUAUUAAUAACAAUCUAAAAAAAGGCUUAUUAGGGCUUUUUAUAAUAUUAGCCUUGGAAAAAGUUUAUUUAAGCAAUACACAUUUAAAAAUAUUUAAAAACAGUACAUACCCUUCCUCAUAUUUGGAAUUUAAAAGAUAGCCUUUGCAGUUGUUUUUUUUUAAAUUUAAUUUAGGAGAUUACAGUUUUAUAUAUCCUUAAACUUUGUCAUCUAAGUCUUUUAGGGUAUUCCACUUUAUCUAGAAGCAUGUCUUUAUUCUGGAGAUUCUGGUCAAAAUUCUUAUUUUUAAUUGUUAUCCACUGAAUCCUAUCCAGGAUGUAUGUUAAGAACUUAAGGCUGGGCAUGGUGGCAUAUGCCUGUAAUCUCAGGUACUUACCAGGCUGAGGCAAGAGGAUCGCAAGUUCCAACCCAGCCUGAGCAUCUUAGCGAGACCCUGCCUCAGAAAAAACAUAAAAAAUUGGGAUUGGACUAUUUGAUAUUUUAUGUUUAAAAAAAAAAAAAGGUGGUGUAGUACUGUCUUCCCUUUGGUGUACUUUAGAUUUUUCUUCUUCUUCUUCUUUUUUUUUUUUUUGGUACCGGGGAUCGAACUUGGGUCCUUGUGCUUGCGCAGCAGCGGCGAAACCACUGAGCUAAAUCCCUGGCCCCACGUUAGAUUUUUUUAAUAAUGAUGGACUGAUUACUUUUGAAUUUUAUGCUUUAAAAAUGAAUAAUUUGAAAAUAAGAAAGUAAGUUGGAUGACAGAUAUAGCUAGCUAGCAGGAAUUUAUUUACGAGAACAUGUAUAUCCAAAUAUUUCCUGAAGAUUUCUGGAUAUUUAGAGUACUAAAUAUUUCCUGAAGAUUUCUGGAUAUUUAGAGUACUAAAUUUUGGCAAAAAUAGUUGUUUACAAUUUAAAGAACCCAUUAAACCUGGGUGUGGUCUUGCAUGCCUGUAAUCCCAGAACCUCGGAAGACUGAAGCCAGAGUCCAGCCUUGGCAAUUUAGAGAGUUAAGGAGAUCCUGUUUAAAAUAAAAAAAAUUUUAACAAAGGCUGGGGAUGUGGCCCAGUGGAAGGACCCUGAGUUCAGUCUCUAGUAUUAAAAACAGACAAAGCCCAUUAGAUCUUCAGUAUGAUUUGUGGCUUAGUAGUGUUUUUUUUCAAGGCAGUAUCAUUUGACACAUUUUUUUCUCCAACUACUUAUAUAUUGAUAGACUCUGCAUUGUGGCUUGCUUUUCUUUUUUCCUUCUUCCCAGUUGACAUCUAAUCUAGCAAAAAUGAAUUUAUUUAAUUUUUGAUAAAGAGCCUAAGUUAGAUGGGAAGAGGUGUAAUUUGACAUUCCUUGAAAAGUGAAGAUGUGGAGGAACUAAAUAAAGGCUAGAUAUGUGUUUUAUAGCUAAUGCAGAUUUUAGGUCUGGGUUUUUAAAAUACUGUAGACUUGUGUCAGUGGUACUUUGUAGGGAAGCAGGCAGUCUCAUUUACUGUAUAAAUUAGUUGAAUUUUUGGAGGAUAAUUUGCUGACCUACAUUAAAAUUUUAAAUACAUGUACACUUCAAGAAAUUUAUUAUAUGGUUAUAUUCAGGCAUAUACAGAGCAUUUAUGUCCAAGGUUCAUUGUAGCAUUAUGAAAUGUUAGAAACAAUGUAAAUGCCUAUAGUGUACUGACUAUAUCAUAGUUCUUUAGUGAAUAUUUGAGCAGCUGUCAAGAGUAAAAGAUAGUUGUAUAUGCUGCUCUGAAACAGUUCAUCAUGGAGUACUGCGUCUAAAAUAUGGGGGUGCAAAAAAGUACUGUUAGUCUUCAGUAAUCCCUUGUGUUUUUGGAGAAUUGAGUCCAAGGCCCCAAAAUCUGUGGAUGCUUAAGUCCCUUAUAUAAAAUAGCCAUCAUUUGCAUAUGGCAUAUUUGUGUCGUCACAUAAACUUUAAGUAAUUUCUGUACUAUUUAACACAAUGUAAAUAUUUGUACUGUGUUGUUUAAGGAAUAGCAACAAGGAAAAUGUCUGUAAAUGUUCAGUACAAGUGGAUUUUUUUCCUUGAAUAUUUUUAAUCUGUGAUAGAUAGGAUGCAGAACCCAUGAAACUGUAAUAUUCUUCCAUGUAUAUAAAACAUAACAUAUCAAUUUUGGAUUGAAAUAUGUCAAGUUACACUGGUGGUUGUGCCUCUCAGGGGUUGGUGAGGGGAUCACUUUCCCUGUACAUGUAUUCUUUACAGGUAAAAACCAGUUAAUGAAAAAUGACAACUAAAAUAAGCUGUACUGGUAAUGAAAAGAAUGUUACUAGGCUACGUUAGAUAUAUACUUGGAACGUUUUAUUACAGGACUGGUUUCAGAGAGAAAUAAGGUAAAAUCAUGGGGAUGUACACAUGGUUGUUUUAAUAAUAUAUGGACUUUCAAAAAUUUUACCGAAUUCGGUCUUUUAUUUUGAAGUCUUUAAAGUGUCUUUAAUAUCUGUCUUCAUUUAUUCUCGAUCUGGGCUGUUGCACAUGAUUUCAAGUUCUGUUAAGCUAUACCUUGGCUUACACAGUAGAAAAAGAAAAUUUCAUACAUUUUGAGAAGUGAAAUUGUUUCAGGGGUUUUUUCCCACUAAGUUGUUUGUAUGUGGAUGUGUGUAUUUGUCCUGCUACCAGUUGUCUGUAUUUGUAUUGUUUGCAAAUGGGGGAUUUUAAAGCCUAACCAUUCAUUAAAUAGAAAAAAAUUAAUAGGAAUAAAACUUCUUUACAAAGAAUUGUUGAUUUUGAAAAGUUUCAUUUGGAGGACAAAGGGCAAAGUUAAGUCAUGCAAAAUAGGGUUCCUUGUUCUUAGUGCAUUUCUGCAUAUUUUCCUUUCAGUUUCUUUUUUCCUGUUCAAGGAAAGCAGUGCUGGUUCUAAGUAUUAAGCUGCUUCAGUCCUUUUCUCACUUUUUUUUUUUUUUUUCCCCUGAGACAGGGUCUCACUUUGUAGUUCAGGCUGGCCCUGAACUCAUUAUGUAGCUCAGGCUGGCCUCGAACCUGGAGGCAAUCCUCCUGCCUCUGCCUCUGCCUCCUGAGUGCUGGGAUUACAGGCGCGAGCCACCUCGCCUGGCUCCUUUUCCCACUUUUUAAUGUGAAGCUUCACUGCACAUUUUAAUCUUAUUUUAGUCAAUAUUUGUAUUUACAGUUUUGAAUUAUUUUUAUGUUAUUUUACAUGUGUUUGCGUAGGUUAGCAUGUUAACUAUUAUUUACACUUUAAUGUCUGUCACUGACCAGAAAACAUGACAGGUUUUGUGCCAUUGAAAUCUUUCUUAGACAAAUGGAAAGACAAUUUGUUUCCCUGUAAAAUGAGGCAAAGAUGACUCACUUUUAGGAUGAUAAAGUCUAAGACAUAUGUGUAUGUGUCUCUUUUUUUGCAUACACUUUUGCCUAAAAUAUUUUGCUGUGACAUAGUUCAUCAGAUUAACAAAAUGUCAGGAAAGCAAAAUUAAUGGGAAAAGUAACUAUGUAAACAAAAAUUAUAGAAAAUUUAAAAUUUAUACUCUGUUCUGCAUUGAAUGUCUCCAGCGUCUUAUUUCAAUGACUAAAAAUACAGUUAAAGAACAAAUAUCUUUGUCAUCAAAAAUUGUUAUGUAGUAGUAGGGGUUAUGCAUAUGCAAGGCCCUGGGUUUGAUUCCCCAGUGCUCACCCUUGCUCCCCAAAAAAUCAUUACUAGUGGUAAAAGUGAUGUAAAAAGGGUUAGGAUGUGUUAUUGGGCAUCAAACGUUAUUCAUGCGUUUGUUUACUCAAGAAAUACUUCAUGGCCGGCUCAUGCAGCCACCUGCUGACCCUGGGUAUGCAUUGUCAAGAAGUAUUCUUACUUUCAUCAAGCUUCUGGUCUUUAGGGAAGACAGAUAAUAACUGGUACAUAAACACCCAUAGUACUGUAGAAAAGCCAUAAUCACAUACUUGUUAUUAAAAACUUGCGGCUGGGCUUGUAACUCAGUGGAAGAGUGAAUGCCAGGCCUUGAGUUCGAUACCCUGCACCACAAAAACAAAAGCUUAACAAUAAGCAUCAAAAAAUGUGGAAGUACCCUCACACCCUACAAUCAUAGACCAGAAGGGAAAGUGAAUGGUGUAAUUGAUUUAAGUUUUAGGGGAGUCUGAUUUUUAAAUCAAAUAAUGGAUUCAGAAAGCUUAUUCUUAGCUUGUGAAAAAAUGAGUACUCCAGUGUGUGGUUUCUUUUAACUCAAACCUGUCUUUGCUUACUUAUACUGAAGAAGUUUUGAGGAAGAGAAAGUUUGUUGGUGAUUUCAGUAUAGAGAUGAAAGUUUAUUUGGAGCAUACAUGUAAUUGACCUGGAAGGUAGAAAAUAAUGAAAACCAAUUUGCUGGUUCCUCCUUAAAACAGAUCGUAGGGGUGGACGCUACUUUGUUUGAGAAUUCACCAAAUGCUAAGCAUAAUGUUUUCAUACAUAAAUGAAAGCAUUAGAUGUGGUCUGAGGAAAACAUAAUAUCAUUACUUUGCCAUUCAUUCCACCUAUCCCUUUGAAUCACACACAUUUCUGGGUUUGAAUUUAGAUUUGAUUCUGAUACAUAGCUGUGCCCUGUCUGAAGCUUGGUAUCCUUUUCUAUAAAAUGAGAAUGUUAUCACUUGGAGCAAGUGUUCUGCUUGAUUCUGGGGCUAGAACAUAGAGCCAGAUGCCUAGAUUCAAAUCUUAGCUCCUGAGCUGGAUUAGUUUAGUUUGGAAUAACUGGUCAAGUUGGUUAGCCUCUCUGUGCCCUAGUUUCCACCCGUGUAUAAUGGGGAUGAUAGUAACAGCACUUUUUAGGAUUAUUGUGAGAAUUAAGUGAGUAAAUAUAUACAGAGCAUUUUAAAUAGCAUAUUGUUAUUCUUUGGUACAGUAAUAAUGCCUCCUGAAUACCAGAAACUAUGUAGUAGGACUUUAUCUCAUUUCGUUUCAUGUAAACCUGUUAAGAAGCAUUGUCUGACUUGUUGAUUGUACUUGGAACACUUUCUGGUAUACAGUAAAUGUGCCAAGUUUCCUGUAGUAGUGUUUUAUCAUCAGAAAAAAGACUUUAUUUAUUUAAUUUUUUUUGGUUAAUAAAAAGUUAAAGGCACUACCAUAAAAUGAAUGCAUCAUGGUGUAUGUCUUGUUUCAAAAAUUGUAAAUCAGUUGAAUAUUAAUAUUGUUUUCAUAGGUAGUUACAGAUUAUUUUAUAGAAAGUCAGUUUGUCAUUAAAAGCUACAUUAGAUGAUUAGUAUUCUCAAAUCAACAGUUAUAAUAUGUCUGUUAAGCAGCCCAUUUGCCUUAUGUUGUGUUGCAGAUUCCUACCUUAAUGUAUAUAUGUCACCUCCUUUGGGUCUUCACUACAGCCGUUAAGCUCACUACAGUGCUUUACUAAGGAUAGUUUGCUGCAUCACCCACUUCAGCCUCUUUUGUUCACCCAGGAAGCCAGACAUAUUAAAUAGCCUUUACAAUGUACAUAUAUAUCCAAUUACUUUGUUUUUGAAAUUUUAGAAUUUUAUAAUUUGAAAUGGUAAACUUACUUUUUUUUUAUUCUUGGCUGUUGAAAUUACUUGACAGAACUUUGCUUUGGAAUAGAGCUUCUGUAUCUUUAAAAAUACACGAGUCACCCCCUGCUCUUUUGGUAGAUGCCUGGCUAGUCAACAGCUAAGCUGCUUUAGGCAUAUAAUAGAACAUUCCAUUUCCUGUUCCCUUGCUGACACAGAGGAGUGUUCCUGCUGGCAAUGAUCUAAUCACAGUGCAGUAAGAAACAUGGCAGUUUGAUAAAACAUGGUGGAGACAGCGGCUGAAAUGGAAGCAUAUGUUCUAGAAGACAUUCUAGAGGUGGAGUCUUUCAUUUUAGAUCAGGAUGAUUUGGAAAAUCCAAUGCUGGAGACAGCUUCAAGUUGCUCUUGUCAGGUACUGCUGAUGGUGCAGACCUCAGGACGGUAGAUCCGGAGACACAGGCCAGACUGGAGGCUCUGCUAGAAGCGGCAGGUAUGUCUAAGCCCUCCCUAUGAAGAGACUGUCUUAUUAUUCAUUGCUGGUGCAGACCUCAAGAGGGUAAAUCCAGAAACAUAGGCCAGACUGGAACCCUUGCUAAAAGUGGCAGGAAUUUCUAAGCUCUAACAGAGUUAAGAAUCUGUCUUAUCAUUCAUGAAAACCAUGAGCUUCAAUAUGGCAUGGUUUCUCUUAUAGAGAGGAAUCUAAAAAUGUAAAGAACAAAAUAAAAGAUAAUGGGAAGUAGGUAGAUAGAUCUUUUCAAAUAGAAAGGAGUCAAGAGAUAGAGCAAUGGGGGAGAGGGAUAAAUGUGUUUUGUAUGUGUGCCAGCUCCCAUAAAGAGUGUAGUAACUGUGUACUGCAAACAAGUAGUAAUAAAAAAUAAAACCUGAAGAAAAGAAAAAAUGUUAUUUUAAAUGUAUGAUCUUACACAGUGUAAUACUCUUUAUAAGGUUAAUCAAUUUAUCUAGAAUUAU